RNAcentral lists this ribosomal RNA (329 nucleotides) under uncultured bacterium. RNAcentral describes it as "bacterial SSU rRNA". It matches the Rfam family "Bacterial small subunit ribosomal RNA", at positions 32 to 333 of the family's 1533-position model. The record is from RNAcentral.
AAUCAACGCUGGCGGCGUGCCUCAGACAUGCAAGUCGAACGCGAAAGGUUCCUUCGGGGACCGAGUAGAGUGGCGCACGGGUGAGUAACACGUAGGUAAUUUGCCUUUGGGUGGGGAAUAACUCAGGGAAACUUGAGCUAAUACCGCAUAAUGCAGCGGCUCGACAUCGAGACAGUUGUUAAAGCGGGGGAGUUCGCAAGAACCUCGCGCCUAAACGAAGAAGCCUGCGGCAGANAGUCUAGUUGGUUAAGGUAAUAGGCUUACCAAGGCGACGAUCUGUAACGGCCUGAGAGGGCGGGUCGGUCACACUGACACUGACAUACGGGUCA